Molecule: ribosomal RNA, 463 nt
Filed under: uncultured bacterium
Lineage: Bacteria
Description: bacterial SSU rRNA
Rfam family: Bacterial small subunit ribosomal RNA
Source: RNAcentral
GACGAACGCUGGCGGCGUGCCUAACACAUGCAAGUCGAACGGAGUUAAGACUUCGGUUUUAACUUAGUGGCGAACGGGUGAGUAACGCGUGAGGAACCUGCCUUUCAGUGGGGGACAACAGUUGGAAACGACUGCUAAUACCGCAUAACAUGUACGGAUCGCAUGGUCUGAAUAUCAAAGGAGCAAUCCGCUGAAAGAUGGCCUCGCACCUGAUUAGAUAGUUGGUGAGGUAACGGCUCACCAAGUCGACGAUCAGUAGCCGGACUGAGAGGUUGAACGGCCACAUUGGGACUGAGACACGGCCCAGACUCCUACGGGAGGCAGCAGUGGGGGAUAUUGCGCAAUGGGGGAAACCCUGACGCAGCGAUGCCGCGUGGAGGAAGAAGGUCUUCGGAUCGUAAACUUUUGCUUCAGGGACGAUAAUGACGGUACCUGAGGAGGAAGCCAACGGCUAAACUACGUG